RNAcentral lists this ribosomal RNA (460 nucleotides) under uncultured bacterium. RNAcentral describes it as "partial 16S ribosomal RNA". It matches the Rfam family "Bacterial small subunit ribosomal RNA", at positions 338 to 795 of the family's 1533-position model. The record is from RNAcentral.
CCUACGGGAGGCAGCAGUGAGGAAUAUUGGUCAAUGGACGAGAGUCUGAACCAGCCAAGUAGCGUGAAGGAUGACUGCCCUAUGGGUUGUAAACUUCUUUUAUAUGGGAAUAAAACGUUCCACGUGUGGGAUUUUGUAUGUACCAUAUGAAUAAGGAUCGGCUAACUCCGUGCCAGCAGCCGCGGUAAUACGGAGGAUCCGAGCGUUAUCCGGAUUUAUUGGGUUUAAAGGGAGCGUAGGUGGAUUGUUAAGUCAGUUGUGAAAGUUUGCGGCUCAACCGUAAAAUUGCAGUUGAUACUGGCAGUCUUGAGUACAGUAGAGGUAGGCGGAAUUCGUGGUGUAGCGGUGAAAUGCUUAGAUAUCACGAAGAACUCCGAUUGCGAAGGCAGUUCACUGGACUGCAACUGACACUGAGGCUCGAAAGUGUGGGUAUCAAACAGGAUUAGAUACCCGGGUAGUC